AACCGGGUCUAAUACUGGAUACGACCUUCUGGCGCAUGCCAUGUUGGUGGAAAGCUUUUGUGGUUUUGGAUGGACUCGCGGCCUAUCAGCUUGUUGGUGGGGUAAUGGCCUACCAAGGCGACGACGGGUAGCCGGCCUGAGAGGGUGACCGGCCACACUGGGACUGAGACACGGCCCAGACUCCUACGGGAGGCAGCAGUGGGGAAUAUUGCACAAUGGGCGCAAGCCUGAUGCAGCGACGCCGCGUGAGGGAUGAAGGCCUUCGGGUUGUAAACCUCUUUCAGUAGGGAAGAAGCCGGCCUUUCGGGGUUGGUGACGGUACCUGCAGAAGAAGCGCCGGCUAACUACGUGCCAGCAGCCGCGGUAAUACGUAGGGCGCAAGCGUUAUCCGGAAUUAUUGGGCGUAAAGAGCUCGUAGGCGGUUUGUCGCGUCUGCCGUGAAAGUCCGGGGCUUAACUCCGGAUCUGCGGUGGGUACGGGCAGACUAGAGUGCAGUAGGGGAGACUGGAAUUCCUGGUGUAGCGGUGAAAUGCGCAGAUAUCAGGAGGAACACCGAUGGCGAAGGCAGGUCUCUGGGCUGUAACUGACGCUGAGGAGCGAAAGCAUGGGGAGCGAACAGGAUUAGAUACCCUGGUAGUCCAUGCCGGUAAACGUUGGGGCACUAGGUGUGGGGGGACAUUCCACGUUUUUCCGCGCCGGUAGCUA
Molecule: ribosomal RNA, 705 nt
Filed under: Arthrobacter agilis
Lineage: Bacteria; Bacillati; Actinomycetota; Actinomycetes; Micrococcales; Micrococcaceae
Description: bacterial SSU rRNA
Rfam family: Bacterial small subunit ribosomal RNA
Source: RNAcentral